This 200-nucleotide ribosomal RNA is filed under the name uncultured bacterium. Its description in RNAcentral is "partial 16S ribosomal RNA". It matches the Rfam family "Bacterial small subunit ribosomal RNA", at positions 30 to 233 of the family's 1533-position model. The record is from RNAcentral.
AUUGAACGCUGGCGGCAGGCCUAAUACAUGCAAGUCGAGCGCGAAAGUUCUUCGGAAUGAGUAAAGCGGCGGACGGGUGAGUAAUACAUGGGAAUCUGCCUGGUAGUGGGGGACAACGUUUCGAAAGGAACGCUAAUACCGCAUACGCCCUACGGGGGAAAGGGGGGGAUCUUCGGACCUCUCGCUAUCAGAUGAGCCCA